Molecule: ribosomal RNA, 463 nt
Filed under: uncultured bacterium
Lineage: Bacteria
Description: partial 16S ribosomal RNA
Rfam family: Bacterial small subunit ribosomal RNA
Source: RNAcentral
CGAACGCUGGCGGCGUGCUUAACACAUGCAAGUCGAACGGAAAGGCCCCAGCUUGCUGGGGUACUCGAGUGGCGAACGGGUGAGUAACACGUGGGUGAUCUGCCCUGCACUCUGGGAUAAGCCUGGGAAACUGGGUCUAAUACCGGAUAGGACCGUGCUUUAGUGUGUGCGGUGGAAAGUUUUUCGGUGCAGGAUGAGCCCGCGGCCUAUCAGCUUGUUGGUGGGGUAAUGGCCUACCAAGGCGGCGACGGGUAGCCGGCCUGAGAGGGUGUACGGCCACAUUGGGACUGAGACACGGCCCAGACUCCUACGGGAGGCAGCAGUGGGGAAUAUUGCACAAUGGGCGCAAGCCUGAUGCAGCGACGCCGCGUGGGGGAUGACGGCCUUCGGGUUGUAAACCCCUUUCGGCAGGGACGAAGCUUUUGUGACGGUACCUGCAUAAGAAGCACCGGCCAACUACGUG